This is a regulatory RNA element of Peptostreptococcaceae bacterium oral taxon 113, 113 nucleotides long. It matches the Rfam family "Ribosomal protein L20 leader". From Rfam's summary of the family: This family is a putative r-protein leader autoregulatory structure found in B. subtilis and other low-GC Gram-positive bacteria. The record is from Rfam. NCBI's taxonomy places the organism in Bacteria, Bacillati, Bacillota, Clostridia, Peptostreptococcales, Peptostreptococcaceae.
UUAUUGAAGUAGAAACAUCCGUUUCUCACCUGUUGACAGAUGGUUUGCAGGUCUGUACCCUAUUUUUUUGUGUGCAAAGCAACGGAUGUUUUAUCCGUUGCUUUUUUAUUUAU